CCCGCUGAACUUAAGCAUAUCAAUAAGCGGAGGAAAAGAAACUAACAAGGAUUCCCCUAGUAACGGCGAGUGAAGCGGGAUGAGCUCAAAUUUAAAAUCUGAUAGUCUUUGGCUGUCCGAGUUGUAAUCUAGAGAAGUGUUUUCCGCGUUGGACCAUGUACAAGUUUCCUGGAACGGAACGUCAUAGAGGGUGAGAAUCCCGUCCUUGACAUGGACUACCAGUGCUUUGUGAUACACUCUCAACGAGUCGAGUUGUUUGGGAUUGCAGCUCAAAAUGGGAGGUAAAUUCCUUCUAAAGCUAAAUAUUGGCGAGAGACCGAUAGCGAACAAGUACCGUGAGGGAAAGAUGAAAAGCACUUUGGAAAGAGAGUUAAACAGUACGUGAAAUUGUUAAAAGGGAAACGAUUGAAGUCAGUCGCGUUUGCUUGGACUCAGCCUUACCUCGGUUUGGUGCAUUUCCUUGUGAACGGGCCAGCGUCAAUGUUGUUCGUUGGAAAAGGGUUAGAGAAAUGUGGCUCUUUCGGGAGUGUUAUAGUCUCUGAUCGUAUACAACGGCUGAUAUUGAGUGGUACAGCAUGCUUCGGCGGUGCUUGUGCUGGCAUAAUGGCUUUAAACGACCCGUCUUGAAACACGG
Molecule: ribosomal RNA, 634 nt
Filed under: uncultured fungus
Lineage: Eukaryota; Fungi
Description: eukaryotic LSU rRNA
Rfam family: Eukaryotic large subunit ribosomal RNA
Source: RNAcentral